Molecule: long non-coding RNA, 4295 nt
Organism: Cephus cinctus (wheat stem sawfly)
Lineage: Eukaryota; Metazoa; Arthropoda; Insecta; Hymenoptera; Cephidae
Exons: 11
Source: RefSeq, a predicted model, not a curated record
GUUGGAUAAAUCAGGAUGGUUGGUCUUUUUGAUUGCGGAACGGUUGGUACGGUUGGUCGACCUGCCCUAACCUCCACAGACAUUUGCCCAAUUUUUUGUACCACUUACAGCUAUGUAUAUUCGCAUCUUAUCUACUUCCUUCUGGCACAACUCCUGCGUACUGUGUACAAAGCGCUAAUUCCAGCAUCUGUCUGAAAUCUGUAUUAUUUCUCACAACAACCCCAGCCCGUGCCUUCCUCUUCGGCUUCCUGAGAAUGGCGUGCCGAUAAUUCCAUCAAGUCCCUCAGGAUUGGAAAGAAGCUAGCAGAUAUAGUUAAACCGGCUAAAACGGCUAACACAGUGGCUCCUCCAUUGGCUUAGGGAGUAGAUAUUGCCAUAGUAAAUCAACGUGGCAGAAACGACAUGCUAUUCCAAUAUUAGAUCUUGACGUACGGGAGAUUCGACCUUAACGGCUAAUGGUCAGGAGCGAAGUGAAGAGGAAGAGGAAGUGAGUGAUUGGAAAAAAAAACAAGUAUAAGAAAAAGCAUAUAGCAGAUGGAGGACGUGUGACGAUAAAGAGGAUUUUAUGAAAUUUCUAAUUUUUUUUUUUAUCAAUCGACCUACCGACUGAUCACGAAUUUCAAGAUUGAUUGGCAAUCGAUCUAUUAGGAUGUUAUUGCACGUUGGACCUUCGGAUUCUGGUUUUACGCUCUGUGACGUCACCGGAAUUCUCAUUGGUAUUCAGACCGAAGGCAGAUUCGUCUGUUCGUCUUCCUAUAAGAUUCUCCUGCGGAAGAUCAAAUUUCAUAUCGAAGAAUUCCAAAUUUUCUGCAACGCCUUGAGGUUCGAUCGGAAUAUGCAAGGUCUAUUACGAACUGCCAAGAGGUGAUCGUCCUGCGCAUGCGCGCCGCUCUAUGCCGAGAAACUAUGUGGCCGUUAACGGCUUCGGACAAAUCGAGUUCGCGUUGUGCACGAGUGAACUGGGGAGUGCGCCGAGCAGUUAACACGCGGUAAACUCUUACGGACGAAAAGGACAAAAUCUCUUUGUCAUAUCUGUAAGGCCGGUCAGUUGCCAAUUUGAAAUUCAUGAGAGAACAAAUUUGAUCGUUAAUUCAUAUUUGAAUUACCCCCGUAAUUCUACUAAAACUUCGAGAGCAAAGCCCCGCAAAAGUGCAUAAAUUUUUCUCUGGCUUUUACACCGGGAACAGAGGAAUGUUACGCAAGCUCCUGGUUAAGUAUGAAAAAUGUAGACAUUCGUCUUCCAAUACGAACGUGGAACUUGGCUCCGUGUGACAUCCCUGGCCCUUUGUGGUUAUACAGAAAAUGUGCUACGUUAAGAUAGUCGCACAAUUCGUCAUUUAGAGGGUAACUCAACGAUUCCUGAAAAAUCUUCCAUGGCUCCAUUCAUUUCGCCAGACUCAGAAAAGUAUUCAAAACCCGUCUGUAUCGCAAAACUAAAGAAAGAAAAUCCACUCUGCUCGGACUUCUACGUUAAAUUAUUCAUACCGAAGUGAACUUACGUAACAGACAUAUAUAUUUUUAUCUUAUCCUCCUGGUCGUCUUCUCCACCGAGUGGAUUCGUUAUAUAUACACUUUGACAUAUCAAAACUAUUUUGACCAUAGACCGCGAAGCAAGCCGGAGUACCACAGCCUCAUUCGUCCCAGAUUUCAAACAUGGCGGCAAUUAAGAGAAUAAAACCUGGCCAGAAUACGUAGCGCGAUAGUGGCGCCUCGUUAUUUUUCAUACACAAGAAUUCUCGUCUCUACGUGUUAACGAGGGUAAUCAAAAUCAGCCGGAUGCCAUACACACGAUGUAUAAUACAAACGAAGAAUUAACAUUGGAUCAAGAGCGUCCGGCAUUAAAGGAUCGUUUGGAUUUGAACCAUAUUCUUCAAUUUCCAUCUCCCCUUCAAAAUCUCCUUUCUUCUGCAUCAACUUCCAUUUUUCCACUGUGUUGGAAAAAGCUCUCGGCUUCCACCAGGCUACACCCUGACCACGUACAAAGGAAGUGUGCAUUGUUUGAUAUGGAAGACAAUCGUUACCGGCUUCAUGGGAUGAGAUGAGGACAAAACAGAAGAUUGAUUAUUCCGGAUGAAAACUGCAAAGAAAAAACUAAGAUCCUGGUACCCUGUGUGUAUCCGACAGUGAAGAGCCUUGCCGUAAUACCCAGUGUCGGCGGCACUGCGGAACUCUCGGCUCGACGAGAACGAUGGGUCGAAAUUAAAAGUUUCAACGGAUCAGCGCCACGCGGGUUGUUACCAGGCUCUGGGGAUGAAAAGGACAUAAGAGUGAAGUGGAGAUUCAGGGAGUGCCGGGGCUGACGUUGCUGACGUUGACGAAUAACGGAGUCAGCGUUUUGACAAAUUUACAUUUGCCAGAAACGUUUAAUUCGUGGAGUCUCGUGUCGACCUUUGACCCGAACUAAAUUCAUUUCAUUUGUCAGGGGUCUCGGGGAGGUCAUUGAUCCCUCUCCCAUUUAAAUCUAGAAAAUAAUUUUCGAAAUACCCUGUGUAGUACCCUCUUGUUAGACAGUCUCGGUGAAUUUGAAAAAAAAAAAAAAAAAAUUUCAUCCGCCCGAGGCGGUUCUCACCGACUUCCGGGAAACUCGAACAAUAAGGGAAGAAUUAUAUCAAGAGUCCAACCACCCUUAUAGGGUUUUUGAAUACGGUAGAAUUUUAUUAGAGGGUUGAAUACGUCGUGAAGAUGCCUAUGGGGCGAAGGACGAAUGGAAAACUCCGGGGUAAAUAAAAACUACCCUCCAAGAGAAUAAAAAGGUAGACCAGCGCCAGGAGUGUAUCGGCGAAUACCGGGUGACAAAAAAUAAUUCAGUAGGCACAUUAAGUAACGCUUAAUUACGGACUCGGAGAAUGAACGAAAAAACACGAAAUUUCAUUAUCGAAUUAAUCGUCUCCCAAGUUUGGGGGGUGCGAAUGAUGAACUGAAAAAAUUUUUUUUUUUUUUUUUUUUUUUUUUCAAAAUUCGUACAGCAUCGCAGCUCCCGUUAAAAGUUUCGACCCUGGUCGAAGAACAAAGCUUUACCGAUCUCGAAUGGUUCGCCCUGCCGUUCAUACACAAUUCCAUUAACUAAGUCCGUGGGAUCAUCAAUCCUUUUCCAAGGCACUCAAGAUCUGCCGACCCGAUCCCUCAUAGUUCUCUCGCUGAUGAAAGAUGCGAAGCCGUGAUUUCUUUCUACAGUUGUUUAUCACGCAAUUUCUCAUUCUGACCCCCCGGGGGCGAUGGACAACUGCGCUCCGUUUACUUGGACUAGGUAGACACCCCCUGGGUCCAAUGGCUUCCAAUCAGGACUGAUCAAUCAAUUAGUUACUCAGGGGCGUAACGGUUCGAUUAUUCUGUUGAUAAGUCAUGGAUGUUAAUUAGGCUGAAUUAUUGAUAAUGAAGUCUCGAUAACAGACUGUGUUAAGUACUUCGUCAUUGAUCUCCAUGAAAACGCAUUGUGUUGCCUUAAUUGUUUAUCGAACACCCUGAAAGAGGGGAAGCCGAUUUUUUGGAUCUACACAGUUUUCCAUUUCAUGCUUUUCAUACGGAAUUAAUUUACCACGUGUAUUGAAGUAUCGAGAAAAAAAUUGCGAAUUAAAAAAAAUCCAUCCGUUCUCCAAGGGCUGAAAUCGACUCCGUCUAUACUGUCAAUUAAUUCUAUGGACUUGUGGCAUGCAACGAAAAUUGCAUAGAAUAUAUAUAUAUAUAUAUAUAUAUAUUUAAUUAUCUCAAGAUCGUAUAGCUAAAUGCUCACUAUCGAGAAUUAAGGGCGGAUAAUUACCCAGACAAUUUCCCUGCUCUAGUUUCAUUAUUCUGUUACGCGGAAGAGUUGCGGGUCGGUGGGUUCGUAAUUAAGGGUAGUUCGUACAGGGGUGUGAAAAAAAAAGUGUAUCGUUGGAGGAAGAUGGAGGGGAAAAAAUUUGUCACUCAUCUAGCAAAGUGUUUUGCUUUUCUUUUUUAUUGCCGGAUAAGGGUGGAGUUUUGUGUAUACGUAAUCUCAACCGUGUCUACGAAACAAGAUUUUAUACAGUUUAUUUUAUUUUUUUCGCACCCUGGCGAAAUGUCCAAUUAGCUGAACGCUGUAAUCACACCUGAGGGUGUGACCAAUUUUUUCGAGGGGUCAUAGAAAGUAAGUAGUGGAGGGACUAUGGCGGUGGAAGUCGGGAUUUAAGGUCAGGGUGCAAAACGUAGAUCAUUUCAAGGAAGACGAUGGCUUACUUAAGCACGAAGGGUUGUUAUUCCCUAGAAAUGAAUAUUUCUCAUGUAUAUUUAUAAAUUAAUUCCUUUAUUUUGUUAAAAGCUAUAUAUAUAUAUAUAUA